This 381-nucleotide ribosomal RNA is filed under the name uncultured eukaryote. RNAcentral describes it as "partial 18S ribosomal RNA". It matches the Rfam family "Eukaryotic small subunit ribosomal RNA", at positions 592 to 976 of the family's 1831-position model. The record is from RNAcentral.
CAAUAGCGUAUAUUAAAGCUGUUGCGGUUAAAAAGCUCGUAGUUGGAUUUCUGUCAAGGACAACUGGUCCGCCCCUCGGGUGAGCACAUAGUUUGGUCUUGGCAUCUUGUUGGAAACUGUUGCUGCACUUGGUUGUGUGGCGCAGUGUCCAGCACCUUCACUUUGAGGAAAUUGGAGUGUUUCAAGCAGGCACAUGCCUUUGGACACAGUAGCAUGGAAUAAUUAGAUUGGGCUUUUGCUCCAACUUGUCGGUUUCUGGAGCUGAGGUGAGAAUUAAUGGGGAUUGUUGGGGGCAUCCGAAUUUAGCCGUCAGAGGUGAAAUUCUUGGAUCUGCUAAAGACGGACAACUGCGAAAGCGUUUGCCCAGGAUGUUUUCAUUGA